UCCGUGACCCACUCUACAUCAAAUUGCAAUUCACUACGAUAGUGCAACCAAACACAAGUUAAAGGGCAAGGGACCAAAAGGCCAAGAUGUUGGGAAUUGAUAACAAUGCUAGAACAAGCAUAAAUGGAAGAACAAGCAUAAAUGCUGGGGCAAUACUUGGUGGCACCCAUCAAAUGGAUGGCUCAGAUUUUCCAAACAGAUCUGUAGUGUACAUUCAUCUCCGGGGUGUAAAGAAUUUCCUGGGAACAGUGUUACAUCUCUCAUUAGAGCAACUGCAGAUUAUCCAAGGGGAAGAAGAAGAAGAAGAAAAGAAGAGCUGCAAUGGCUCUCUCUCUUCCUCAGAUUCAACAAGAAGAAGCGAUGCCAUAUCAAGGUACAAAAUCUCUCUCUCUCUCUCUCUCUCUCUCUCUCUCUCUCUCUCUCUCUCUCUCUCUCUCUCCUCUUUUUUUUUUCUUGGAUCGGAUUCGAACCUGGGCCAAUCUGAUCUGACUCAGUUUUCCUGACUGAGUCGGACUCGGAUCGGUCCAGGGCCACAUGGGUUAGGAUCGGAUUGGGUUAGAGGACCAGGACUUGGUCCCGGUUCUGACCGAGUUUGGGUCAGGCCAUGCAGAACUCGGAUCUGGUCGAGUUGGGCCCAAUCCGAUUCGACU
Long non-coding RNA from Magnolia sinica, 650 nucleotides. RefSeq lists it as uncharacterized. NCBI's taxonomy places the organism in Eukaryota, Viridiplantae, Streptophyta, Magnoliopsida, Magnoliales, Magnoliaceae. The transcript is spliced from 4 exons. The record is from RefSeq and is a predicted model, not a curated record.